GGGCCAGACUCCUACGGGAGGCAGCAGUGGGGGAUAUUGCACAAUGGGGGAAGCCCUGGUGCAGCGACGCCGCGUGGGCGAAGAAGUAUUUCGGUAUGUAAAGCCCUAUCAGCAGGGAAGAAGCAAGACGGUACCUGACUAAGAAGCCCCGGCUAACUACGUGCCAGCAGCCACGGUAAUACGUAGGGGGCGAGCGUUAUCCGGAUUCACUGGGUGUAAAGGGAGCGUAGACGGCCAUGCAAGCCAGGGGUGAAAGCCCGGGGCCCGACCCCGGGACUGCCCUUGGAACUGCAUGGCUGGAGUGCGGGAGGGGCAGGCGGAAUUCCUGGUGUAGCGGUGAAAUGCGUAGAUAUCAGGAGGAACACCGGCGGCGAAGGCGGCCUGCUGGACCGCGACUGACGUUGAGGCUCGAAAGCGUGGGGAGCGAACAGGAUUAGAUACCCUAGUAG
RNAcentral lists this ribosomal RNA (449 nucleotides) under uncultured bacterium. RNAcentral describes it as "bacterial SSU rRNA". It matches the Rfam family "Bacterial small subunit ribosomal RNA", at positions 328 to 793 of the family's 1533-position model. The record is from RNAcentral.